Agrilus planipennis (emerald ash borer) is the source of this 292-nucleotide long non-coding RNA. RefSeq lists it as uncharacterized. Lineage: Eukaryota; Metazoa; Arthropoda; Insecta; Coleoptera; Buprestidae. The transcript is spliced from 3 exons. The record is from RefSeq and is a predicted model, not a curated record.
GUCAGUAUCCUCUGAUUAGUUCUGAGAAUUUGACACCCGAUAUAAAUAAUCAAAUGAUGUAAACUUUAUCAAUAAAUUGUGUGUGGUUUGCGGGUUUUAAAUAUGUUUGUCAUGAACAGUCAAUGGACUACCGUUUUGCUGCCACAUUUCUAUUGAUUGAUUUGCUAUAACAUCUGCUGCAUCAUCAGAAAUCUACAAAAAAUUACGUUUUUUAGGUAGUCCAGGGCCUGGUUCAAUGUUGUACAAGUGAGGAGUCUGUACUUCUGAUUAAUUAAUAAAGAAAUAACAGCAA